This 73-nucleotide transfer RNA is filed under the name Opsaridium microlepis (mpasa). RNAcentral describes it as "tRNA-Gln". It matches the Rfam family "tRNA". Rfam says of the family: Transfer RNA (tRNA) molecules are approximately 80 nucleotides in length. Lineage: Eukaryota; Metazoa; Chordata; Actinopteri; Cypriniformes; Danionidae. The record is from RNAcentral.
UUAGAAGGUGGUGUAUAGGAAGCACCAAGAGUUUUGAUCUCUUUAGUAUGGGUUCAAGUCCCUUCUUUCUAAG